AUUGAACGCUGGCGGCAGGCCUAACACAUGCAAGUCGAGCGGAUGAAGGGAGCUUGCUCCUGGAUUCAGCGGCGGACGGGUGAGUAAUGCCUAGGAAUCUGCCUGGUAGUGGGGGAUAACGUCCGGAAACGGGCGCUAAUACCGCAUACGUCCUGAGGGAGAAAGUGGGGGAUCUUCGGACCUCACGCUAUCAGAUGAGCCUAAGUCGGAUUAGCUAGUUGGUGGGGUAAAGGCCUACCAAGGCGACGAUCCGUAACUGGUCUGAGAGGAUGAUCAGUCACACUGGAACUGAGACACGGUCCAGACUCCUACGGGAGGCAGCAGUGGGGAAUAUUGGACAAUGGGCGAAAGCCUGAUCCAGCCAUGCCGCGUGUGUGAAGAAGGUCUUCGGAUUGUAAAGCACUUUAAGUUGGGAGGAAGGGCAGUAAGUUAAUACCUUGCUGUUUUGACGUUACCAACAGAAUAAGCACCGGCUAACUUCGUG
This 484-nucleotide ribosomal RNA is filed under the name uncultured bacterium. Its description in RNAcentral is "partial 16S ribosomal RNA". It matches the Rfam family "Bacterial small subunit ribosomal RNA", at positions 30 to 507 of the family's 1533-position model. The record is from RNAcentral.